RNAcentral lists this transfer RNA (76 nucleotides) under hydrothermal vent metagenome. RNAcentral describes it as "tRNA-Gln-CTG". It matches the Rfam family "tRNA". From Rfam's summary of the family: Transfer RNA (tRNA) molecules are approximately 80 nucleotides in length. The record is from RNAcentral.
UGUCCUGUGGUGUAAUUGGUAACACGUCUGACUCUGGAUCAGAAGAGUCCAGGUUCGAGCCCUGGCAGGACAACCA